Molecule: small nuclear RNA, 115 nt
Organism: Myotis lucifugus (little brown bat)
Lineage: Eukaryota; Metazoa; Chordata; Mammalia; Chiroptera; Vespertilionidae
Source: Ensembl
ACUCUUUGUUUUGGCAGAGCUUAUACUAAAAUUGGAGUAAUACAAAGAAAAUUCAUUAUUAGCAUGGUCUCUGCAAAAGGGUGGCAUGCACAUCUGUGACAGGUUCACAUUCUUA